RNAcentral lists this ribosomal RNA (235 nucleotides) under uncultured bacterium. Its description in RNAcentral is "partial 16S ribosomal RNA". It matches the Rfam family "Bacterial small subunit ribosomal RNA", at positions 97 to 334 of the family's 1533-position model. The record is from RNAcentral.
GGCGGACGGGUGAGUAAUGUAUAGUUAAUCUGCCCUUUAGAGGGGGAUAACAGUUGGAAACGACUGCUAAUACCCCAUACUCCUUUUAUCUUAAUGAUAAUUGGGAAACGUUUUUUCGCUAAAGGAUGAGACUAUAUGGUAUCAGGUAGUUGGUAGGGUAAGAGCCUACCAAGCCAAUGACGCCUAGCUGGUCUGAGAGGAUGAUCAGCCACACUGGAACUGAGACACGGUCCAG